Molecule: ribosomal RNA, 466 nt
Filed under: uncultured bacterium
Lineage: Bacteria
Description: partial 16S ribosomal RNA
Rfam family: Bacterial small subunit ribosomal RNA
Source: RNAcentral
GACGAACGCUGGCGGCGUGCUUAACACAUGCAAGUCGAACGGAAAGGCCCUGCUUGCAGGGUACUCGGGUGGCGAACGGGUGAGUAACACGUGGGUGAUCUGCCCUGCACUUCGGGAUAAGCUUGGGAAACUGGGUCUAAUACCGGAUAGGAGCCAUCUUUAGUGUGGUGGUUGGAAAGUUUUUUCGGUGUAGGAUGAGCUCGCGGCCUAUCAGCUUGUUGGUGGGGUAAUGGCCUACCAAGGCGGCGACGGGUAGCCGGCCUGAGAGGGUGUACGGCCACAUUGGGACUGAGAUACGGCCCAGACUCCUACGGGAGGCAGCAGUGGGGAAUAUUGCACAAUGGGCGCAAGCCUGAUGCAGCGACGCCGCGUGGGGGAUGAAGGCCUUCGGGUUGUAAACUCCUUUCGCUAGGGACGAAGCUUUUUUGUGACGGUACCUAGAUAAGAAGCACCGGCUAACUACGUG